This 345-nucleotide ribosomal RNA is filed under the name uncultured bacterium. Its description in RNAcentral is "bacterial SSU rRNA". It matches the Rfam family "Bacterial small subunit ribosomal RNA", at positions 162 to 507 of the family's 1533-position model. The record is from RNAcentral.
AUUAAUACCUCAUAGUAUGUGAGGAUGCAUCAUUUCACAUUAAAGUCACAACGGCAAAAGAUGAGCAUGCGUCCCAUUAGCUAGUUGGUAAGGUAACGGCUUACCAAGGCUACGAUGGGUAGGGGUCCUGAGAGGGAGAUCCCCCACACUGGUACUGAGACACGGACCAGACUCCUACGGGAGGCAGCAGUGAGGAAUAUUGGACAAUGGGCGCAAGCCUGAUCCAGCCAUGCCGCGUGCAGGAAUAAGGUCCUAUGGAUUGUAAACUGCUUUUAUACAGGAAGAAACACACCCUCGUGAGGGUACUUGACGGUACUGUAUGAAUAAGGACCGGCUAACUCCGUG